GUGGGGAAUUUUGGACAAUGGGCGCAAGCCUGAUCCAGCAAUGCCGCGUGCAGGAAGAAGGCCUUCGGGUUGUAAACUGCUUUUGUACGGAACGAAACGGCUCUGGUUAAUACCCGGGGCUAAUGACGGUACCGUAAGAAUAAGCACCGGCUAACUACGUGCCAGCAGCCGCGGUAAUACGUAGGGUGCAAGCGUUAAUCGGAAUUACUGGGCGUAAAGCGUGCGCAGGCGGUUUUGUAAGACAGGCGUGAAAUCCCCGGGCUCAACCGGGGAAUGGCGCUUGUGACUGCAAAGCUGGAGUGCGGCAGAGGGGGAUGGAAUUCCGCGUGUAGCAGUGAAAUGCGUAGAUAUGCGGAGGAACACCGAUGGCGAAGGCAAUCCCCUGGGCCUGCACUGACGCUCAUGCACGAAAGCGUGGGGAGCAAACAGGAUUAGAUACCCGGGUAGUCC
Molecule: ribosomal RNA, 450 nt
Filed under: uncultured bacterium
Lineage: Bacteria
Description: partial 16S ribosomal RNA
Rfam family: Bacterial small subunit ribosomal RNA
Source: RNAcentral